CCACCUCGCCUGGCCCACGCCGGGGCUCCGGCCCGGCCGCGGCGUGAGCCGCGCUAGCUUCAUCCGCCUGCCGCGCCUUGAUCUUUUUGGAGUCGUUUGUCGAAGAUGGAUAUAGAGCACUGGACAGAUCUAAUUUCUCCUUGCACUUUAUGAGUCAAUUUUAUUUUUAAAAUAAAAAAAAAUUUAAAUAUC
This is a non-coding RNA of Leptonychotes weddellii (Weddell seal), 192 nucleotides long. The record is from RefSeq and is a predicted model, not a curated record. NCBI's taxonomy places the organism in Eukaryota, Metazoa, Chordata, Mammalia, Carnivora, Phocidae.